This 423-nucleotide ribosomal RNA is filed under the name uncultured bacterium. RNAcentral's name for it is "partial 16S ribosomal RNA". It matches the Rfam family "Bacterial small subunit ribosomal RNA", at positions 360 to 775 of the family's 1533-position model. The record is from RNAcentral.
AAUUUUGGACAAUGGGGGCAACCCUGAUCCAGCCAUCCCGCGUGUGCGAUGAAGGCCUUCGGGUUGUAAAGCACUUUUGGCAGGGACGAAAAGGCGCAGGCUAAUACCCUGUGCUGCGGAGGGUACCUGCAGAAUAAGCACCGGCUAACUACGUCCCAUCAGCCGCGGUAAUACGUAGGGUGCAAGCGUUAAUCGGAAUUACUGGGCGUAAAGCGUGCGUCGGCGGUUUGGCAAGAAAGGUGUGAAAUCCCAGAGCUUAACUUUGGAACUGCACUUUUAACUGCCAGGCUAGAAUAUGUCAGAGGGGGGUAGAAUUCCGCGUGUAGCAGUGAAAUGCGUAGAGAUGCGGAGGAAUACCGAUGGCGAAGGCAGCCCCCUGGGAUAAUACUGACGCUCAGGCACGAAAGCGUGGGGAGCAAACAG